GGGGGUGUAAUGGUUUCGACGGGGAUGUAGAAGCCGGAUAAGCGAGCCGUGGUUUGCCAGUCCACGUUAAUAAUGGCACGUUUAAAAGAAACGCGAAAUCUGAAAACAAUUACGCAUUAGCAGCUUAAUUCUGCCAGCGUCGUCAGCCUUGGCUCACCUGUAGGCCAGGGGCCUGGCGCCGACAUACAGGAAAACUUCGCGUGAUCUCCCGGUAGCGCGAGGGACUUACGGGAUAGCUUCGCGCAGGGAAUGUCGGCGGACCCUGCCUGAGGCGAAGAAAUAACCACCGACUGCGCUCGGAGAAAUUCUCGUGGAAAUGUUUUCGGACGUGGGUUCGAUUCCCACCACCUUCACCA
This 356-nucleotide transfer-messenger RNA is filed under the name Eubacteriales Family XIII. Incertae Sedis bacterium. It matches the Rfam family "transfer-messenger RNA". Rfam says of the family: Bacterial tmRNA, also known as 10Sa RNA or SsrA, is named for its dual tRNA and mRNA-like properties. Lineage: Bacteria; Bacillati; Bacillota; Clostridia; Peptostreptococcales; Anaerovoracaceae. The record is from RNAcentral.